RNAcentral lists this long non-coding RNA (2402 nucleotides) under Linum usitatissimum (flax). RNAcentral describes it as "long non-coding RNA (LUSI_LNC006827)". Lineage: Eukaryota; Viridiplantae; Streptophyta; Magnoliopsida; Malpighiales; Linaceae. The record is from RNAcentral.
UAGAACUUGAACAUUAGUUAUCUGUGAACUUUGCUAGGUUAUGUUUGAACUUUGCACUUAAAUCUAUUACAUUUUUUCAAAACGCCUAAUAAGCCAAGGUGUAAGGUAGGACCUCACCGCCUUACUACCGCCUUACGCCUUCCACAACCUUGAAAAAAACUGACAACUAGUAAAUGGUCAUAAGGAUUUAAAACAAGUCUUAACACGUAAAUUAUAAAACAUGUGUUUUAAAAUCAAGUCCACUUCACCACUUCCCGAAUUAGCUCCACUAUGCUCCUGCAUCAACUAUCAAAACACCCCGGUAGGUGGUUUGGGGUCAAUCUUUCGUACUCUAAUCAUAACAUAUUACUAUAAAUGAAUUACUUACAUUAGUAUUCAACAUUCAUCUUAUCAUAAAGCUAACAAUGUGAUUCUAAUAGCCCAAUACUAACCUAAGGGUCUCUAAUGGCCCAAUACUAAUAUAAGGGUCUCUAAUGACUAAAUACCUAAGUCUUGGAUCUUUAAUUGUCCAAAAUCAUAAACCGUCAACUUGGAUCGAUGGUUUAGCUAAAGAGAUUCAUAUUAUUGGAUUAUCAAUUGGUCAUCUAGACUUAAAGACAGGCUAGCUAGUUAUCUAACCGCAACUUAUUCUAACUAAAUCAUAUGCAUAUAGACUCAUAAUAUGAGUAUUAUAAUAGAACAUAGGAAAUAGAACACAUCAUGGUAAAUAAGAACUUAACAUCCUAAGGAAUCAUCAAUAAGUAAUCGUCAACAAGGAAUCAUCAAUAAGUAAUCAUCAUCUAGUAAUGUCAUCAUCUAAUAAUCAAAAGUAAUCAUCAUCUAAUAACCAAAAGUAAUCAUCAUCAAGCAAACAUCAUCAAGUAAUCUUCAUCAUCGACUGAAAUUGAAGUCAAUUAAGUUAGGUAUAUUAUGAAAUCAUGAGUACCAUGCUUCUUGUAAGUUGACAUGUCAUAAACGUCAUUCUUGAGGAACUCAAAUUACAUGACUCCAAUUCUUGUACUUUCAUUGACCUCAUCUAAGGUAUCUUAUAUUUUGUGGAGGGUCCCCCAACUCAACUAACUAACCCACCACCCUAGCGCUAAAAUUAUGGAGGUCUGGGAGUACAUAUCCAUUAGACGGUAUCAUAAAUCAUAGAGGGCAAACUGUGGCCCGUAAAUCAUGGGGGCAACACUCGACCCGUAAAUCAUAGUGGUCAUAAGCCCGGAUCAUGGGGGCAAAUGUGGCCCGAAUCAUAAGGGAUGGUGGUCUAGCUAGUGAGUUUCAUGUUUUAAAUCCACCUAUUACUAAUCUAGGUUAGGUGUUCUUGCUCGCUGACACUGACUUGUUAUCUAUCCUCAUCAUAGUUCUUACGUUGCCAUUAGUCUAACCUUAUCAUAGUGCUAACAUUAUUGUUAGUCUAGCAUUAUCAUCAUAUAUGAGGCACAUCUUGCACAACAUCAAAGUGAUAACAUAUAGGACAUAAUUAAAGACAUAAUCAUGAAAAUCAGGACAUCAAAUUAAAUGCAUCAAAUUAAGUUAAACUUAACCUAAUCUACAUCAACGACAAAAUAUUACCCCCUUAAACCAACCCACCUUAUUAAAGAGCUGAAAUCUCAGAAUUUGGAUCCUAUCUAUUCCUCCUUGAUGCCACAAAACCAUGGCUUCUAACAAUGCGUCAUUUGGAGGUCAAACGGCCGAGUUAUGCUUCAUUUACUCCUUUGCAACUUCUGAGAAUUUUAAGUGGCGAAACUGACAUUUCACUGCCCAAUUAUUUCACUUCCAGAUUUUGUCGCCCAACUUUUGGUUACUUAAGAGUAAUCCCUGAACAGUGAACUAAUAAUAGAGCAGUCACACAACUUUGCAGAAAUAUAACUAAGUCCUCAAACUUACAGAAAACACAUUCAGAUCACUUAUCUUUUGGAUACUACAGAUUGAUCACCGUACUUUCCAGAAUUGCAGUAUGGUUUGUCUGCUUCUCCGGCCAUCUCCUCACCGCCGGUGACCUCAUCUCUAGAUUCCGGCAGGGUUUCCCAACGAGCUCUAGAAUUCUUUGGACUCUCGAUCUUUGCCUCCGAUCGUCCCCUUCGUCGACACCGAGCCCAUAUCACGCUCUCUCUGUAAUGACCAUGGGAUCGACUCAAGCCCUAUUGAGAAAGAGAGUUAGAUGAGGAAGAAGGGCGGUGAAGAGAAGAGGAGAGAAUUGAUAGAGAUAAGAAUUGUUGAUUAAGUUUCUGAUGUUUGCAGACAAAGACAACAGUCCUCAAAUAGCAGCUCGGAGCAAAGAGCUAGAUCUGUACAAAGUUCAUCUUUAGUCCUCAGCUAUUUAGGGAAAUAUAGAAAAAUACUCUAAUAUUUAAAUAGGACUCUUUGGGCCUCAUCAUGACAAUCCUUCCUGGUUGAAAACAGACUUGUCAUCAAGUCUG